GAUGAAUAAUUUGAUAACACUGAAGGAUAAAUACGACUUUUACUAAGAUUUUCAUUACUGUCGAUAUUUUUAAUACUUUUACUGCUGUUGCUGAUUUUUCCCGGUGACAUAGGACUAUUUUCUUUGAUUCCUCCAAUAUUCUGACCAAGUUGGUAGAAAUGUGAAAUUGACGAAUUUGAAGAAGAACAUGAAGACCCAUGAGAUUUUUGUGAUAAAACUUUUUUAGUUGUCUCUAAAGUCUGAGUCAUAAUAGCAAGCGCUUGUGGAUUAUUAUGAACUAAAAAAUUUUCAAAUAUUUCAUUCUCCAAAAUGUACAAGAUUGUAUUACUGCUUGUUUUCCACCAACUGUAAAAAGCAUUUCAGCUCCACCAUCAACGAAUUGAUUCUGCUCUCCAUUUACACGUAUUAAUUGACCAACUUUAUCGAGAACUAUUCGGUAUUCAGUGUCAUCAAUUGUGGUAAUCCAAGUUUCAAGAAUUUUUGACUGAGAUUGAAUGAAACUUUGGAAACUUUUUCCAUUUACCCACAAUGUAUAAGAGUAUCGUAAACCUGUGAAUGAAUCUUAAUAAGUCAUUGGCGUAGAAGAUGAUACAUUUAAUAAAAUUUUUAAUAAAGAAUAAUAACAAUAAUGAACGAAAAAAAAGAAUAAAUAUACCCGUAAUUGGAUCUACUCUGAUGUGUUGUUCCAUCGAUUUUCACAAUUCGUCGUCCACUGGCAGUACCAUGAUCGAAUUCUACUACGUGUGUACGGCCAUCCUGAAGAGGAACCACCCAACGUGCUGUUGGUUCAGUUGACAUAAUUUUCUUUAAUAAUGUAUGAUUUUAUUUGGCACCUUUUCUUGAUAGGUGCUAAUUAACUAUGUGAACAUUAAGUCACACAAUGACACUAUGUAUUAUUGAUUAAA
Long non-coding RNA from Chelonus insularis, 905 nucleotides. RefSeq lists it as uncharacterized. The transcript has 4 exons. Lineage: Eukaryota; Metazoa; Arthropoda; Insecta; Hymenoptera; Braconidae. The record is from RefSeq and is a predicted model, not a curated record.